Molecule: ribosomal RNA, 408 nt
Filed under: uncultured bacterium
Lineage: Bacteria
Description: bacterial SSU rRNA
Rfam family: Bacterial small subunit ribosomal RNA
Source: RNAcentral
AACGAACGCUGGCGGCGUGCCUAACACAUGCAAGUCGAGCGCGAAUGGAGCAAUCCUAGUAGAGCGGCGCACGGGUGCGUAACACGUGGGUAAUCUGCCUCAAAGCUCGGGAUAACUUUCCGAAAGGUUAGCUAAUACCGGAUAAGCUCACAGGGUCUUCGGAUCUGGUGAGAAAAUGGUGGCCUCUAUUUAUAAGCUAUCACUUUGAGAUGAGCCCGCGGCCCCAUCAGCUAGUUGGCGGUGUAAUAGACCACCAAGGCAACGACGGGUAGCUGGUCUGAGAGGACGAUCAGCCACACUGGAACUGAGACACGGUCCAGACUCCUACGGGAGGCAGCAGUGGGAAUUUUCCACAAUGGGCGAAAGCCUGAUGGAGCAACGCCGCGUGUGUGAUGAAGGUCUUCGGAU